CAAAUCCUACCCAAUGGAACGGAUGAAUGGAUAGUAUCAUCACGAUGGCCCUCCUAGCCUAGGCUCCUCCUCCUCCUCCUCCUCUCACCAGCAACCAGCAAUCUCCUUCCUUCCUCUCAUGACACUCUCAUAAUGCUAACAUGCAGCCAAUCACCAUACCCCCUCUCUUCCCUCUUCAGAAACAACCCAACCCUCCCAAAUCUUUGCCUAGCAAAGACGACAAUAACCAUAACAACAUCUAAAGACACUGGCCUUCUCUUCCGACAAAAACUAACUUACCUAACAAACCUUAAAAUAAACACUCAAAAAGCUCUCACUCUAAACCCAAACAUCCGUUCCACUCCUCUCUCUACUCUCCUCGCCAUUGAAAACUGUCUCUCCUCCAUGGGCUUCCACCGUUCCUCCAUUGGCCGUAUCCUCGACAUGCACCCUUGCCUCCUCACCUCUGACCCCCACCUCCACCUCCACCCCACCUUCGAUUUCCUCUUAAAUGAAGUCGAAAUCCCAUUUCUUGAUAUCUCUAGGUCAAUCAAUCGCUGUCCCAGAUUGUUAGUUUCCAGCGUGUCUAAUCAAUUGAGGCCUGCUUUUGUUUUUCUAAAAGAGUUGGGCUUCGUGGGUCCACGUAAGUUAAAUUAUCAAACUACUUUGUUGCUUGUUUAUAACGUGGAGAGAAGUUUGAUGGGUAAGAUCGAGUUUUUGAUGGGGCUGGGGUUUGAGUUUGUCGAGGUUAAAAAUAUGGUUGUGAGGGCUCCUGGGAUUCUGACUCUCAGUGUGGAGAGGAACAUGAAGCCUAAAUUUGAAUACUUUGUGAGAGAAAUGAAGGGGGAUUUAGGGGAAUUGAAGAAGUUUCCGCAAUUUUUCUCGUUUAGUUUGGAGAGGAAGAUUAAGCCUAGGCAUAGAAUGUUGGUGGAGUAUGGGCUGAAGAUGCCAUUGUCGAGCAUGUUAAAGGUUAAUGACGGGGAAUUCAACGCUAGAUUGUUUGAAAUGCGGCUGAGAAUGGUUGAGGAGAGUUAACUUGAUCGGAUAUAAUCAACAAUCGGCUAUACAACUUAUGUUGCUUUGGUGAAGACUUUGAAGGUGCAAAGAUGAAAAUAAAGGAGAAUAACGCAUUCUGUGCUUGGUAGGCCUCCUCUUCCUUCCUGAUCAAGUGUUAAUAUGUUGUGGGACCUAAAUACUGGGAGCAUUGCUGAAGCUCUAUUCAGUUUGAAUACAGGCUCAAAAUCUUGAUAUCCAUCCUCGGUAAUUAGAUGGUUGAGGGAGGAGCUUGUGCAUGACAGCAUGGGGACAUCGAUCGCACUACAGGUGACUGAUAAAGCUGCACAGUUAUCUUAAAGUGAGCAAAUACCCUGUCUAUGAAUACAGUUCCAGUGAAUGUAUGUUAGCCAAGAUGAAAAAGGUUACCUGUAAGCUAUAUCCAAACAUAGCCUAGUCAAUAGAGGUGGAAAAGAUAAACAUACGAAGGAAGCUUUGUAAAUUUACCAAAUUGUUGCAAUUAAGCACCGCGAAGGGUGUUUAUGCAACUGACUGCUUUGGAUGCAAUGUGGCAGAAAGCUGCUGCUUGCAAUUCCAUCUGUAGGUUCUGAUAAAUUUCUUCAUCAUAUGACAACAAGGUAUUAGACAAA
RNA transcript from Populus nigra (black poplar), 1622 nucleotides. It is a transcript of the gene named transcription termination factor MTEF1, chloroplastic, with no coding region annotated. The transcript is spliced from 3 exons. The record is from RefSeq and is a predicted model, not a curated record. NCBI's taxonomy places the organism in Eukaryota, Viridiplantae, Streptophyta, Magnoliopsida, Malpighiales, Salicaceae.